GACGAACGCUGGCGGCGUGCUUAACACAUGCAAGUCGAGCGGAAAGGCCCUGCUUUUGUGGGGUGCUCGAGUGGCGAACGGGUGAGUAACACGUGAGUAACCUGCCCUUGACUUUGGGAUAACUUCAGGAAACUGGGGCUAAUACCGGAUAGGAGCUCCUGCUGCAUGGUGGGGGUUGGAAAGUUUCGGCGGUUGGGGAUGGACUCGCGGCUUAUCAGCUUGUUGGUGGGGUAGUGGCUUACCAAGGCUUUGACGGGUAGCCGGCCUGAGAGGGUGACCGGCCACAUUGGGACUGAGAUACGGCCCAGACUCCUACGGAAGGCAGCAGUGGGGAAUAUUGCACAAUGGGCGGAAGCCUGAUGCAGCAACGCCGCGUGCGGGAUGACGGCCUUCGGGUUGUAAACCGCUUUCGCCUGUGACGAAGCGUGAGUGACGGUAAUGGGUAAAGAAGCACCGGCUAACUACGUG
RNAcentral lists this ribosomal RNA (468 nucleotides) under uncultured bacterium. RNAcentral describes it as "partial 16S ribosomal RNA". It matches the Rfam family "Bacterial small subunit ribosomal RNA", at positions 28 to 507 of the family's 1533-position model. The record is from RNAcentral.